This 460-nucleotide ribosomal RNA is filed under the name uncultured bacterium. RNAcentral's name for it is "partial 16S ribosomal RNA". It matches the Rfam family "Bacterial small subunit ribosomal RNA", at positions 338 to 795 of the family's 1533-position model. The record is from RNAcentral.
CCUACGGGAGGCAGCAGUGAGGAAUAUUGGUCAAUGGACGAGAGUCUGAACCAGCCAAGUAGCGUGAAGGAUGACUGCCCUAUGGGUUGUAAACUUCUUUUAUACAGGAAUAAAACGAGGCACGUGUGCCUUUUUGCAUGUACUUUAUGAAUAAGGAUCGGCUAAUUCCGUGCCAGCAGCCGCGGUAAUACGGAGGAUCCGAGCGUUAUCCGGAUUUAUUGGGUUUAAAGGGAGCGUAGAUCGGUUGUUAAGUCUGUUGUGAAAUGUCGCGGCUCAACCGUAAAAUUGCAAUGGAUACUGGCUGGCUUGAGUGCAGUUGAGGUAGGCGGAAUUCGUGGUGUAGCGGUGAAAUGCUUAGAUAUCACGAAGAACCCCGAUUGCGAAGGCAGCUUACGAAACUGUGACUGACAUUGAUGCUCGAAGGUGUGGGUAUCGAACAGGAUUAGAUACCCGUGUAGUC